GAUGAACGCUGGCGGCGUGCCUAAUACAUGCAAGUAGAACGCUGAAGCUUGGUGCUUGCCCCGAGCGGAUGAGUUGCGAACGGGUGAGUAACGCGUAGGUAACCUGCCUCUUAGCGGGGGAUAACUAUUGGAAACGAUAGCUAAUACCGCAUAAAAGUCGAUAUCGCAUGAUAUUGAUUUGAAAGGUGCAAAUGCAUCACUAAGAGAUGGACCUGCGUUGUAUUAGCUAGUUGGUGAGGUAACGGCUCACCAAGGCGACGAUACAUAGCCGACCUGAGAGGGUGAUCGGCCACACUGGGACGGAGACACGGCCCAGACUCCUACGGGAGGCAGCAGUAGGGAAUCUUCGGCAAUGGGGGCAACCCUGACCGAGCAACGCCGCGUGAGUGAAGAAGGUUGUCGGAUCGUAAAGCUCGGUUGUAAGAGAAGAACGAGUGUGAGAGUGGAAAGUUCACACUGUGACGGUAACUGACCAGAAAGGGACGGCUAACUACGUG
RNAcentral lists this ribosomal RNA (497 nucleotides) under uncultured bacterium. Its description in RNAcentral is "partial 16S ribosomal RNA". It matches the Rfam family "Bacterial small subunit ribosomal RNA", at positions 28 to 507 of the family's 1533-position model. The record is from RNAcentral.